GUACACUCCUGCGGGAGGCAGCAGUGGGGAAUUUUGGACAAUGGGCGAAAGCCUGAUCCAGCAAUGCCGCGUGAGUGAAGAAGGCCUUCGGGUUGUAAAGCUCUUUUGUCAGGGAAGAAACGGUGAAAGCUAAUAUCUUUUGCUAAUGACGGUACCUGAAGAAUAAGCACCGGCUAACUACGUGCCAGCAGCCGCGGUAAUACGUAGGGUGCAAGCGUUAAUCGGAAUUACUGGGCGUAAAGCGUGCGCAGGCGGUUUUGUAAGUCUGAUGUGAAAUCCCCGGGCUCAACCUGGGAAUUGCAUUGGAGACUGCAAGGCUAGAAUCUGGCAGAGGGGGGUAGAAUUCCACGUGUAGCAGUGAAAUGCGUAGAUAUGUGGAGGAACACCGAUGGCGAAGGCAGCCCCCUGGGUCAAGAUUGACGCUCAUGCACGAAAGCGUGGGGAGCAAACAGGAUUAGAAACCCGAGUAGUCCCA
This 475-nucleotide ribosomal RNA is filed under the name uncultured organism. RNAcentral describes it as "partial 16S ribosomal RNA". It matches the Rfam family "Bacterial small subunit ribosomal RNA", at positions 331 to 797 of the family's 1533-position model. The record is from RNAcentral.